UGGGGAAUAUUGGACAAUGGGCGAAAGCCUGAUCCAGCAAUACCGCGUGUGUGAAGAAGGCCUGAGGGUUGUAAAGCACUUUCAAUAGGGAGGAAAACCUGCCGGCUAAUACCCGGUAGCUUGACAUUACCUAUAUAAGAAGCACCGGCUAACUCCGUGCCAGCAGCCGCGGUAAUACGGAGGGUGCGAGCGUUAAUCGGAAUUACUGGGCGUAAAGCGUGCGUAGGCGGCUUUUUAAGUCAGAUGUGAAAGCCCCGGGCUUAACCUGGGAACUGCAUUUGAUACUGGGGAGCUAGAGUUUAAUAGAGGGGAGUGGAAUUUCCGGUGUAGCGGUGAAAUGCGUAGAGAUCGGAAGGAACACCAGUGGCGAAGGCGACUCCCUGGAUUAAAACUGACGCUGAGGUACGAAAGCGUGGGUAGCAAACAGG
RNAcentral lists this ribosomal RNA (428 nucleotides) under uncultured bacterium. RNAcentral describes it as "bacterial SSU rRNA". It matches the Rfam family "Bacterial small subunit ribosomal RNA", at positions 355 to 776 of the family's 1533-position model. The record is from RNAcentral.